CCUACGGGAGGCAGCAGUGAGGAAUAUUGGUCAAUGGACGCAAGUCUGAACCAGCCAUGCCGCGUGCAGGAAGACGGCUCUCUGAGUUGUAAACUGCUUUUGUACGAGGGUAAACGCAGAUACGCGUAUCUGUCUGCAAGUAUCGUACGAAUAAGGAUCGGCUAAAUCCGUGCCAGCAGCCGCGGUAAUACGGAGGAUUCAAGCGUUAUCCGGAUUUAUUGGGUUUAAGGGGUGCGUAGGCGGUCGGAGAAGUUAGAGGUGAAGUCCCGAGGCUCAACUUCGGAAUUGCCUCUGAUACUGGUCGGCUAGAGAGUAGUAGCGGUAGGCGGAAUGCAGGGUGUAGCGGUGAAAUGCUUAGAUAUCAGACAGAACACCGAUGGCGAAGGCAGCUUACCAAGCUACUUCUGACGUUGAGGCACGAAAGCGUGGGGAGCAAACAGGAUUAGAUACCCUAGUAGUC
RNAcentral lists this ribosomal RNA (460 nucleotides) under uncultured bacterium. RNAcentral describes it as "partial 16S ribosomal RNA". It matches the Rfam family "Bacterial small subunit ribosomal RNA", at positions 338 to 795 of the family's 1533-position model. The record is from RNAcentral.